AAUUUAUUAUUUAAGUAACUUAAACUUGUUUAUCAUUGAGUAGUUUUUUAACUUUAGCUUGGUGGAUGUUGCAACCUACGUAUACUUUACAGCCUUCACUCCAUUGGUGUACUGGACAUUUCUGGCUGGAUUUUUUAAUAUGUCCCAGCCAAGUAUCCUGUUCUCCUAUAAGGCCCAGGUAGAUGACGUAGCAGAAGAUGACAGUGUCAGCUUGCCGCAUCAGCUCUCCUAUUCUUCGAUGAAGACUGACACUGAUUAUAUAUAUCAGGACAAGUACGUGUAUGAUAGCACCCACUUCGAUGUAGCCAGUGCCAAUCCUUUGUAUAUUCACUCCCUCCAGUCUCCCGAGAGCUUUGUGGGUUUUGGUAACAAUACUAGUGAAGGAAGUAUUAAUAACUCACGAAACCAUGAACGUGAAGCAAGGAAGUCAAAACGAACAAGUGAAACCUCUUAGAAUUAAAAUAUAAAUACUUUUCAUAGACUUACGUUUACGUGAUAUAUUUUAUAUGUGAUAAAGAUUGCUGAUUAAAAGGCUUAGUUUAUUACUUGUAUAUUUGUAAACGUUUAGAAAGAUAAAGCUAUUUAGUGUCAGUAUUGUCUAAUCAGCAUUCAGGUUUUAACACAGCUUCUUAACUACAGACUUGGAUGUUUUGGUAUAGAGAAGUAAUACUGGUUCGUAUAUGUAUAAGAUGUGUGUACUUUGUUUUCUGAAGUUUAAAAAAAACCACAAAAUCCAUAAAUAUAUCGGUACAUUUUACCUUGUGCGUGAUUGUUUUAUAUUUAUGAAGUACAAUUUUCUUAAUAUGUUAUUUGAAGAAUUACAUACUUUCAAGUGUAUGUCAUAAUUGUCUCAAAAAAAAGAAAAGUUUCAUUUCAUCCAAACUGUUUGAAAUAAUUCUUAUUGUUUUCAUUCAAAAGAAAAUAAAUUUCUAAAUAUGUUUUUGCUCAUGGUAAAAUUAAUUACAUGUUUCACGGAAUGGAUAUCAUCACUGUAAUUGGAUUGUCAGGCCUACAAAUUAAUUAAAACAAAUAGCUUUAUUAUUACUCAGUGAAGCAUAUUAUUACAUCACCAGAAUGAUGCCUUUUGGCUCAUACAGUGUAAAAAUCAUUACUAUAUUUACAUCAGAUAGAUCAAAACAUAAAUAUUUUAUAAACGUUCAAAAUAAGACCUGUUUAUUUUCCCAGUAUGUUAACCAGCUUGUCCUUUACAUCAGUAAUAUGGGUCACCUAAGAAUGAAAUAGAUUUAAAUAUAAAGCAGAUAGAAAUGAAAAAAGGCAUCGAAUUGUCACUCGGUAAACAUACAUUCCUGCAUAAUUAAGCUGGAUUCAUUCAUGGAUCUGUUACUUCAACUGUUCAUUUUUCCCCUUGAAUGAAAAAUUAGUAUGUUUUGUCUUUAUUUAUACAAAUAUUUAUAUUUUUGCCUCAUUUUAAUUAGGUACAAGUUUCUAAUUUUCUAGAUAAAUGUUUUCCUCUCCACACUUUAUUUUGCACAUUUCUCAAUAGUUGUGUUCCUUCACACCAGAGUUUGCUGUUACAAUGGCAGCAUUUUUUUGUUAUCCAGUGCCUUGGCAAAGUAUGUUUUACCAAAGAUAAGUAUUAUAUUUUUGGCUCAUUCUCAAUUUGUUCCCGAAGAAAGAAGGGUAUGUCUUUCAAAUGAGUCAGAGGUAUCGGGUUUUGCAGUUUGUGGUAUAUAUAUUUUUUUUCAUUUUGCAUGUUUAAAGUAUUAUAUUUUCCUAAGAGAUUAGCCAUCUAUAAACAGUGUGGGUAUUUAUAUAUAUAGUAAAAAUUGUGCCAUUUUUGUAUUGCAGCCAAACUAAUGAUCUCGUAAUUGACAAUUUAAUUUAGAUUUUUUUUUGCAUAUGUGUAUUAAGUUAAAUAUUUACAUA
This is a long non-coding RNA of Limulus polyphemus (Atlantic horseshoe crab), 1887 nucleotides long. RefSeq lists it as uncharacterized. The transcript is spliced from 3 exons. NCBI's taxonomy places the organism in Eukaryota, Metazoa, Arthropoda, Merostomata, Xiphosura, Limulidae. The record is from RefSeq and is a predicted model, not a curated record.